This 2087-nucleotide ribosomal RNA is filed under the name human gut metagenome. Its description in RNAcentral is "bacterial LSU rRNA". It matches the Rfam family "Bacterial large subunit ribosomal RNA", at positions 14 to 2113 of the family's 2925-position model. The record is from RNAcentral.
AGGGCGUAUGGUGGAUGCCUAGGCUCUCAGAGGCGAUGAAGGACGUGAUAAGCUGCGAAAAGCUCCGUUUAGGUGCAAAUAACCUUUGAUGCGGAGAUCUCCGAAUGGGAUAACCCAAUAUGUUGAAGACAUAUUAUACCGUAAGGUAGGCAAACGCAGGGAACUGAAACAUCUAAGUACCUGCAGGAGAAGAAAACAAACGUGAUUCCCCCAGUAGCGGCGAGCGACCGGGGAUAAGCCCAAACCGUUAUUGUUUCGGCAGUAGCGGGGUAGUAGGACUGCGACAUUGAUGAAAUAAAUGAAAUGGAACACCUUGGAAAAUGUGAUCACAGAGGGUGAUAAUCCCGUACAUGUAAGUUUAUGAAUCAUAGCAGACUCCUGAGUAAGUCGGGACACGUGUAAUCCUGACCGAAUCCGCCGGGACCAUCCGGCAAGGCUAAAUACUCCUGAGAGACCGAUAGUGAACCAGUACCGUGAGGGAAAGGUGAAAAGCACUUCGAACAGAAGAGUGAAAUAGUCCCUGAACCCAUACGCCUACAAGCAGUCGGAGCCGCUUCGUGCGGUGACGGCGUGCCUUUUGCAUAAUGAGCCUACGAGUUACUCAUCACCAGCGAGGUUAAGUACUUCAGGUACGUAAGCCGAAGCGAAAGCGAGUCUGAAUAGGGCGUCAAGUUGGUGGUGGUAGACGCGAAACCUUAGUGAUCUACCCAUGGGCAGGGUGAAGGUUUGGUAACACAAACUGGAGGCCCGAACCGGUAAACGUUGAAAAGUUUUCGGAUGACCUGUGGGUAGGGGUGAAAGGCCAAUCAAACUGGGAAAUAGCUCGUACUCUCCGAAAUGCAUUUAGGUGCAGCCUCUGUUGUUUUGUUCUAGAGGUAGAGCUACUGAUUGGAUGCGAGGGCUUCACCGCCUAUCAAAUCCGGCCAAACUCCGAAUGCUAGAACAUGAAGACAGGGAGUGAGCCAGCGGGUGCUAAGGUCCGUUGACGAAAGAGGGAGAACUCAGACCAUCAGCUAAGGUCCCCAAUUAUAUGCUAAGUUGGAAUAAAAACGGGGUGGGACUGCUUAGACAGCUAGGAUGUUGGCUUGGAAGCAGCCAUUCAUUUAAAGAGUGCGUAACAGCUCACUAGUCGAGCGGUCCUGCAUGGAUAAUACGCGGGCAUAAGCAUAUAACCGAAGCUAUGGGAUUGUAGAUGAUACAAUCGGUAGGAGAGCAUUCCAUUCAGCAUAGAAGCAGUAUCGUGAGGUAUUGUGGAGCGGAUGGAAAAGCAAAUGUAGGCAUAAGUAACGAUAAUGCGGGUGAGAACCCCGCACGCCGAAAGAUCAAGGAUUCCCCGGCAAUGUCAAUCAUCCGGGGGUAAGUCGGAUCCUAAGGGUAAGCCGAGUGGCGAUCCCGAUGGUAAACAGGUUAAUAUUCCUGUACUGAUCAUAACUGCGAUGCAGCGACGCAGAGGUGACACUGCUGCGUACUGACGGAAUAGUACGUUGAAACCCGUAUUCUUUGAUACCGGUAGUGAAGCACGCCGGUAGAGAUGAAAGGUGAUAGUACCGCAAUGCUUCGGUUGCGCGGAUAAUGCAGGUAAGCUGACUGCCAAGAAAACCUGCUAAGCUUCAGGUAAUGAUCAUCCGUACUGUAAACGGACACACGUGAUCAGGUAGAAAAUACUAAGGCGCUCGAGAGAUUCAUGGUUAAGGAACUAGGCAAAAUGGUCCUGUAACUUCGGGAUAAAGGACGCUCUUGUGAAAGAGCCGCAGAUAAUAGGCCCAGGCGACUGUUUACCAAAAACACAUGGCUAUGCUAAUUCGCAAGAAGAUGUAUAUGGCCUGACACCUGCCCGGUGCCGGAAGGUUAAGAGGAGAGCUCAGAGGUAACUCGAAGGUUUGAAUUGAAGCCCCGGUAAACGGCGGCCGUAACUAUAACGGUCCUAAGGUAGCGAAAUUCCUUGUCGGGUAAGUUCCGACCUGCACGAAUGGUGUAAUGAUCUGGACACUGUCUCAACCGUGAGCUCAGUGAAAUUGUAGUAUCGGUGAAGAUGCCGAUUACCCGCGAUGGGACGAAAAGACCCCGUGAACCUUUACUAUAGCUUA